GACGAACGCUGGCGGCGUGCUUAACACAUGCAAGUCGAACGGUGAAGCGCCUUCCUUUUUGGUGGGUGUGGAUGAGUGGCGAACGGGUGAGUAACACGUGAGUAACCUGCCCCCUUCUUCUGGAUAACCGCAUGAAAGUGUGGCUAAUACGGGAUAUUCUGGGUCUGUCGCAUGAUGGGUCUGGGAAAGAUAUUGUUUCGGUGGGGGAUGGGCUCGCGGCCUAUCAGCUUGUUGGUGGGGUGAUGGCCUACCAAGGCGGUGACGGGUAGCCGGCCUGAGAGGGUGGACGGUCACACUGGGACUGAGACACGGCCCAGACUCCUACGGGAGGCAGCAGUGGGGAAUAUUGCACAAUGGGCGCAAGCCUGAUGCAGCGACGCCGCGUGAGGGAUGGAGGCCUUCGGGUUGUGAACCUCUUUCGCCAGUGAAGCAGGCCUGCCUCGUUUGUGGGUGGGUUGACGGUAGCUGGAUAAGAGACGCUGGCUAACUACGU
This 493-nucleotide ribosomal RNA is filed under the name uncultured bacterium. RNAcentral describes it as "partial 16S ribosomal RNA". It matches the Rfam family "Bacterial small subunit ribosomal RNA", at positions 28 to 506 of the family's 1533-position model. The record is from RNAcentral.